This 478-nucleotide ribosomal RNA is filed under the name uncultured Alphaproteobacteria bacterium. RNAcentral describes it as "bacterial SSU rRNA". It matches the Rfam family "Bacterial small subunit ribosomal RNA", at positions 8 to 524 of the family's 1533-position model. The record is from RNAcentral. Lineage: Bacteria; Pseudomonadati; Pseudomonadota; Alphaproteobacteria.
AGAGUUUGAUCAUGGCUCAGAACGAACGCUGGCGGCAGGCUUAACACAUGCAAGUCGAAGGAGAAGCCAUUUCGGUGGUGGAGACUGGCGGACGGGUGCGUAACACGUGGGAAUUUGCCCUUUAGUCUGGGAUAACAGUUGGAAACGACUGCUAAUACCGGAUACGCCCUACGGGGGAAAGAUUUAUUGCUAAAGGAUAAGCCCGCGGCUGAUUAGGUAGUUGGUGAGGUAAGAGCUCACCAAGCUGAUGAUCAGUAGCUGGUCUGAGAGGAUGAUCAGCCACACUGGGACUGAGACACGGCCCAGACUCCUACGGGAGGCAGCAGUGGGGAAUAUUGGACAAUGGGGGCAACCCUGAUCCAGCCAUGCCGCGUGAGUGAAGAAGGCCUUAGGGUUGUAAAGCUCUUUCGCUCGUGAAGAUAAUGACUGUAGCGAGUAAAGAAGCCCCGGCUAACUUCGUGCCAGCAGCCGCGGUAAU